CCUACGGGCGGCAGCAGUGAGGAAUAUUGGUCAAUGGACGAGAGUCUGAACCAGCCAAGUAGCGUGAAGGAUGACUGCCCUAUGGGUUGUAAACUUCUUUUAUAUGGGAAUAAAACAGGGUAUGCAUACCCUCUUGUAUGUACCAUAUGAAUAAGGAUCGGCUAACUCCGUGCCAGCAGCCGCGGUAAUACGGAGGAUCCGAGCGUUAUCCGGAUUUAUUGGGUUUAGAGGGAGCGUAGGUGGAUUGUUAAGUCAGUUGUGAAAGUUUGCGGCUCAACCGUAAAAGUGCAGUUGAAACUGGCAGUCGUGAGUGCAGUUGAGGUAGGCGGAAUGCGUGGUGUAGCGGUGAAAUGCUUAGAUAUCACGAAGAACUCCGAUUGCGAAGGCAGCUCACUGGACUGCAACUGACACUGAUGCUCGAAAGUGUGGGUAUCAAACAGGAUUAGAUACCCUUGUAGUC
This 460-nucleotide ribosomal RNA is filed under the name uncultured bacterium. RNAcentral describes it as "partial 16S ribosomal RNA". It matches the Rfam family "Bacterial small subunit ribosomal RNA", at positions 338 to 795 of the family's 1533-position model. The record is from RNAcentral.